Molecule: ribosomal RNA, 406 nt
Filed under: uncultured bacterium
Lineage: Bacteria
Description: partial 16S ribosomal RNA
Rfam family: Bacterial small subunit ribosomal RNA
Source: RNAcentral
AUUGAACGCUGGCGGCAGGCCUAACACAUGCAAGUCGAACGGAUAGCGGACGGGUGAGUGAUGUCUGGGAACCUGCCUGAUGGAGGGGGAUGACGGCUGUAACCGGUGGCUACUGGCGCUUACCAUGGGUUGUGCCCUCAUGGGAUUAGCUAGUAGGUGGGGUAACGGCUCACCUAGGCGAAGAUCCCUAGCUGGUCUGAGAGGAUGACCAGCCACACUGGAACUGAGACACGGUCCAGACUCCUACGGGAGGCAGCAGUGGGGAAUAUUGCACAAUGGGCGCAAGCCUGAUGCAGCCACGCCGCGUGUAUGAAGAAGGCUUUCGGGUUGUAAAGUACUUUCAUUGGGGAGGCGGUACCCGCAGAAGAAGCACCGGCUAACUCCGUGCCAGCAGCCGCGGUAAUAC